UUCAUAAGUGCUGGAAUGGGUGUGAAGUAGGGAGUCAAUGAAUUCCUCUGACAGGCUAUUAAUUUUAAUUUUAUGCAGACAUUCAUUUGCUUCUACAGGGUGUUGGUUCAGGUACAAAAAAACCUUUCUCAGUGUGAGAAAAUAUCGAUACAGAUGAAGAUCUGAAACCAUUACAUGUGAAAAAUAGACCAUAAUAGAGGAAAUCAGGAAAGGGGCAAAUGGAACAUCCAGGAGAAAACGGCUGUAAUCCAGAGUUCUUGCAGAAGAUGAACCUGGCAAAUUACUGUAUGACGGGCGACAUGGAGAUAAAGAUGAAAGAGGUGAAACAGAAGCUUGAGGAACAUAAUGAGAGGAUUGCCCAGCUGGAAAAGAGCCUGCACCAAAGGAUAGAGAUUGCAAAUGAAAUGUCCAGAGAUCAAAAUAUUGUACGCAACAACGUAGCAAACCAGGGAAGCUGGUGUGUUGUUAUGUAACUAUAGUACAUUUACAACAGUAGGUGCUAUUCUCCUGUGGGAACUUUAUAAUAUUAAAAUGAAAUAAAUCACAUAUAUUCACCAAA
Molecule: long non-coding RNA, 559 nt
Organism: Conger conger (European conger)
Lineage: Eukaryota; Metazoa; Chordata; Actinopteri; Anguilliformes; Congridae
Exons: 3
Source: RefSeq, a predicted model, not a curated record